Molecule: ribosomal RNA, 456 nt
Filed under: uncultured bacterium
Lineage: Bacteria
Description: bacterial SSU rRNA
Rfam family: Bacterial small subunit ribosomal RNA
Source: RNAcentral
AGAGUUUGAUCCUGGCUCAGGAUAACGCUGGCGGCGUGCCUAACACAUGCAAGUCGAACGAUCCCGCAAGGGAGAGUGGCGGAAGGGUGAGUAACACGUGGGAAUCUACCUCCUCGCAGGGAACAACCUCUCGAAAGAGAGGCUAAUACCCAAAAGGGUCAGAAAUGAUCAGAGUCGAAAGGCGUGAGGAGAGGAGCCCGCGGCCCAUCAGCUAGUUGGUGAGGUAAUGGCUUACCAAGGCUACGACGGGUAGGGGAUCUGAGAGGAUGUCCCCCACACUGGAACUGAAACACGGUCCAGACGCCUACGGGUGGCAGCAGUGAGGAAUAUUGGACAAUGGGCGAAAGCCCGAUCCAGCAACGCCGCGUGGAGGAUGAAGGCCUUCGGGUCGUAAACUUCUUUAGAGGGAGACGAGAAAGGACGGUAUCCCUAGAAUAAGCGACGGCAAACUACGUG